GCAUUAGUUGUUCAGUGGUAGAAUUCUCACCUUGCAUGCAAGAGACCUGGGUUCGAUUCCCAGCCGGUGCA
This is a transfer RNA of Loxodonta africana (African savanna elephant), 71 nucleotides long. It matches the Rfam family "tRNA". Rfam says of the family: Transfer RNA (tRNA) molecules are approximately 80 nucleotides in length. The record is from Rfam. Lineage: Eukaryota; Metazoa; Chordata; Mammalia; Proboscidea; Elephantidae.